This 376-nucleotide ribosomal RNA is filed under the name uncultured bacterium. RNAcentral's name for it is "bacterial SSU rRNA". It matches the Rfam family "Bacterial small subunit ribosomal RNA", at positions 521 to 895 of the family's 1533-position model. The record is from RNAcentral.
UAAUACAGAGGUCCCGAGCGUUGUUCGGAUUCACUGGGCGUAAAGGGUGCGUGGGUGGUGAGGUAAGUCGGAUGUGAAAUCUCCGAGCUCAACUCGGAAAUGGCAUUGGAAACUGCCUUGCUUGAGGGUUGGAGGGGGGACUGGAAUGCUUGGUGUAGCAGUGAAAUGCGUAGAUAUCAAGCGGAACACCAGUGGCGAAGGCGAGUCCCUGGACAACUCCUGACACUGAGGCACGAAAGCUAGGGGAGCAAACAGGAUUAGAUACCCUGGUAGUCCUAGCCGUAAACGGUGCAUGUUUGCUGUAAAAGGAAUCGACCCCUUUUGUGGCGUAGCCAACGCGUUAAACAUGCCGCCUGGGAAGUACGGUCGCACAAGU